CCUACGGGAGGCAGCAGUGGGGAAUAUUGCACAAUGGGGGAAACCCUGAUGCAGCGACGCCGCGUGAGUGAAGAAGUAAUUCGUUAUGUAAAGCUCUAUCAGCAGGGAAGAAAAUGACGGUACCUGAGUAAGAAGCCCCGGCUAACUACGUGCCAGCAGCCGCGGUACUACGUAGGGGGCAAGCGUUAUCCGGAUUUACUGGGUGUAAAGGGAGUGUAGACGGCAGUGCAAGUCUGGAGUGAAAGGCGGGGGCUCAACCCCCGGACUGCUCUGGAAACUGUACGGCUGGAGUGCAGGAGAGGUAAGUGGAAUGCCUAGUGUAGCGGUGAAAUGCGUAGAUAUUAGGAGGAACACCAGUGGCGAAGGCGGCUUACUGGACUGUAACUGACGUUGAGGCUCGAAAGCGUGGGGAGCAAACAGGAUUAGAUACCCCAGUAGUC
Molecule: ribosomal RNA, 440 nt
Filed under: uncultured bacterium
Lineage: Bacteria
Description: partial 16S ribosomal RNA
Rfam family: Bacterial small subunit ribosomal RNA
Source: RNAcentral